GUGGGGAAUAUUGGACAAUGGGGGGAACCCUGAUCCAGCCAUGCCGCGUGUGUGAAGAAGGCCUUUUGGUUGUAAAGCACUUUAAGCGAGGAGGAGGCUACCGAGAUUAAUACUCUUGGAUAGUGGACGUUACUCGCAGAAUAAGCACCGGCUAACUCUGUGCCAGCAGCCGCGGUAAUACAGCGGGUGCAUGCGUUAAUCGGAUUUACUGGGCGUAAAGCGCGCGUAGGUGGCCAAUUAAGUCAAAUGUGAAAUCUCCGAGCUUAACUUGGGAAGUGCAUUCGAUACUGGUUGGCUAGAGUAGGGGAGAGGAUGGUAGGAUUCCGGGUGUAGCGGUGAAAUGCGUAGAGAUCUGGAGGAAUACCGAUGGCGAAGGCAGCCAUCUGGCCUAAUACUGACACUGAGGUGCGAAAGCAUGGGGAGCAAACAGGAUUAGAAACCCGUGUAGUCC
This 451-nucleotide ribosomal RNA is filed under the name uncultured bacterium. RNAcentral describes it as "bacterial SSU rRNA". It matches the Rfam family "Bacterial small subunit ribosomal RNA", at positions 354 to 796 of the family's 1533-position model. The record is from RNAcentral.